GGGGCUGUAGUGUAAUUUGGCUAUCAUUCCACCUUCGGGGGGUGGCGAUCGGAGUUCAAAUCUCCGCAGUCCCA
RNAcentral lists this transfer RNA (74 nucleotides) under Candidatus Woesearchaeota archaeon. Its description in RNAcentral is "tRNA-Pro". It matches the Rfam family "tRNA". Rfam says of the family: Transfer RNA (tRNA) molecules are approximately 80 nucleotides in length. Their secondary structure includes four short double-helical elements and three loops (D, anti-codon, and T loops). The record is from RNAcentral. Lineage: Archaea; Nanobdellati; Candidatus Woesearchaeota.